UUCCCUUCUUGGCCUUGUGGCUAAGAUCAAGUGUAGUAUCUGUUCUUAUCAGUUUAAUCAAUUUCUGUAAGCCAAGCAUUAUAGAAGAUUCUAGUUCAGUGGGAUAGUGGGGACAAUAAGAUGAGCUAUUGUCUUACACAGAUAGCAAAACUGCAACAACAAACCAAUUUUUUUCAAGGUCACAAGUAGUUUAU
The sequence is a small nuclear RNA, 194 nucleotides long. Its record names the gene U2. It matches the Rfam family "U2 spliceosomal RNA". From Rfam's summary of the family: U2 is a small nuclear RNA (snRNA) component of the spliceosome (involved in pre-mRNA splicing). Complementary binding between U2 snRNA (in an area lying towards the 5' end but 3' to hairpin I) and the branchpoint sequence (BPS) of the intron results the bulging out of an unpaired adenosine, on the BPS, which initiates a nucleophilic attack at the intronic 5' splice site, thus starting the first of two transesterification reactions that mediate splicing. The record is from Ensembl.